This is a non-coding RNA of Schistosoma curassoni, 45 nucleotides long. The record is from Rfam. Lineage: Eukaryota; Metazoa; Platyhelminthes; Trematoda; Strigeidida; Schistosomatidae.
AUUCAGCUGACCAGUCUCAAAUAGGACGAAACGCACAUCCUGGAU